CUUGGGGGGCGGGGGGGUCCCCUCAACCUGGAUUGCGAGAGGGUGAAGGCCAGGCUGAGGGACCCCACCAGUGCAGA
Molecule: microRNA precursor, 77 nt
Filed under: Myotis davidii
Lineage: Eukaryota; Metazoa; Chordata; Mammalia; Chiroptera; Vespertilionidae
Description: mir-9193 microRNA precursor family
Rfam family: mir-9193 microRNA precursor family
Source: Rfam by way of RNAcentral